Molecule: long non-coding RNA, 1485 nt
Organism: Vespa crabro (European hornet)
Lineage: Eukaryota; Metazoa; Arthropoda; Insecta; Hymenoptera; Vespidae
Exons: 3
Source: RefSeq, a predicted model, not a curated record
CUGGAAUAUAAAAUUUCCCAGAAGUCGAUAUCAAAACAAGCUAAGAGUAUACAAACUCGUGUUUCUCGCGUUUCUAUGGCGAGAUAAUAUGGUUCAGCGGUGUUGAUACUAAUGAAGGAGGGAGAACGACGGUUGUCGCAACAUUUGUUGUUGUUACUAUUGGCGCUAGUGGUGGUAGCGACGGUAGAGGUGGCGAUAGAGGUGAUGGUGGGUCUGGGCCUUGGCAGAUACGGCAGAGACACCGUACAAGCAACGUAUAAUUAGUCUAAUGACAGUGCCGAGUGCUGUAGCUAUCCCGGAAGCUUGGAGAAGCGUCGUAAGAAUGGAGCACCGAUCAACCUAUGACCACAAUGCCCGUGGGAAUUUGGCUUCGAAAGCUCGUGACGCGUUUCAUCGUUCCUCUUCCAUUUCUACGCGCCUACCUGCACAGAGAAUACAACCACCUCACGUACACUUGGGAAACGACGAACUGUAUCGUGAAGCGUGACUAAUUGUCAGCAAUAAUACAGGCGACUUAUCACACCGCCCUAAGUGUAAUAGCGAGCUAGGAAAGAUUUGCAGACUGUCUGGUAAUCCCAUGGUAAAAGAUGAAGAUUCCCUUUGUGAAGAAAUUUUAAUUCUACAUACCAAUGACUCCACCUUAUUUACUUCAAAACUGAACAAUGAAAAACGAACCGUUUGAUCUAUCUUUUAGUAAAGAUGAAAUAAGUAUAUCUUGAUAAUCAUCAGUUAAUUAAGACGAUUGGAAGGACAGUCCGAAAUAAGUAUCUUCCAAGACGAUAUAAAAAGUAAAAAAAUUGAGAAAAAGAAAACAUAAAAACGCAUGCAGAGGCAAAAAAAAAGUACGUUCUUUCGGCAGGUUGCCAAGGGGGAGAAGGGAAGAGGAAGCAGGUUUUCUACCCUUUAGAAAGCAUCGUUCCAACUGCAUCUUCGUGGAUGGAAUUUAAAAGCGGAUGAGUGUAGUAAGUUUUCAGUUUUCUUCAGCUUCUGCCACGAUUUUCUCUCUUUUCUUCUCUUGUUUUCUCUCUUUCUCUUCUUCUUUUUCUUCUUCUUCUUCUACUUCUACUUCUUCUUCUUCUUCUUCUUCUUCUUCACUUGGUCGAAGAGCACUGAGAGUCUGGACUUCCAUUAAUCGUGAAAGCAAUUAUUACGAGGGAAAGGUCAUGGGGCAGACUCUUAAUCGUUCUGAGGUGUGAAUGCUAAUGAGUCCGAAGAACAUGGAGCCAAGAUGCUCGUUGUCCGCACUUUCGAGAAAAAGAACGCUUGUGGCGAUCUUAUAGCCUGACCUUGAUUAAUGCUGAGAAUAAAUGUACUCGAAAUAUUUUAUACUAUAUAGGUACAGUCUAAUGCCUUCUUGGUAGAUUAUAUAUCACGUCAGAAUUGGAUAUAACCAAGAAGAUGAUUGCGAGUGUGGUGUCAUUAUAUAGUUGCAACUAUCACGCAGUUAAAGUUUCUUAUUCUUAUAUUAUAUGCGCACAUAUGUUC